GAGAGGCAGGCGGCACAGUAGCGGUGUCCACACAGCGUCUGCUGAGCCCUCCUCAGCACAUUUUGGCAACUGCAGCACAGGUUCCUCGCAGAGUCCUUGCAAAAAGAGGAAAAAAAAAAGACCAACGAUGGCAAGAUCCAUGGAGAUCAGGAUAUAAGAAGCCCAUUUGACCAAUGUUUUCUUGAUGAUUUGAUCACUGUAUUUCGACCACCAAGAGUGUUUCCCUUGAAGAAGAUCUGAUCCUCUCUAAACCACACGUGGAACAGAGAACACAUUUAUUGCUCUAGACCAAAAAGCUACCGUUUAUCCAGAUGCAUCCCUCUUUAUAUGAGGAAUAACAAUACCUCCUUCAACUAGUGGCAAAUAGUAAAGAUAUGUGGGCUCUGCUGUUGUGGGUGAAAUAUCUUCCCUUUCCAGUUCUAGACUAGAAAUUGGAAUCGUUUGAUGAGGGCGGAAGGAUCAGGCCAUGUCACAUUUGGUCCAGCUCAGUUUCUACUUUCACAAAGAGCACGUCAUCGCACACAAAUUCCCAGCAGCGACCCUGGAACUCCUCCAGGGAGACAAACCUGGAAAUGCCUCCAGGCACGUUGGCAUUCUCCAUGGGCCACUGGACCCAGAGCGCGGUGAGGUCCGGCUCAAAAUGUCUUUGGAUGGAAUGCUCCUGCUGCUUCUGGUUAAGGAUGAGCAAAUCCAUCUAGGGUGAUGAGAAACACAACACACACACAAACACAGACACACCAGUCAGAGUUCCAGCUGACCUCUCUCACUCCUUUUCCUUGACCAUUUACUGACACUUAGUAGGCUGUUUCCUGGAAAUCAUUGGAUGGCUGCCUUUUUCUUUUUUUAUUGUGCUCAGGAAGACAACUCAGCACUUUUACAUUUCAAAGUCUGGUAAUCAUAAAACUGAAUCUCGACAUAAUAUUUUCCACUACAACUAUCUUUUGCUUCCUAAACUCAAGUACGACGUUACCACGAAGGUUACAAUAGGAGCGCCCUCUUCUGGGAAAUCCCGUUAAGAAAUUGUCAUGAUCAGGAUUAAAGGCCCGGCGAGGCAAAGAGGUGUUUCUUAGGAGCUGUGACCCAUGUGAAUUGGGAGUAGAAAAUUCCAGGGAGAUGCGGGUGUCCCUUCCCCUGCGGAUGCAGCUGAUGUACUUGAAGGAGUGUAAAUGGCAAAGAAAAUCCUUUCAGGAAAGAUCAGAGCCCAAGACGUGAACCUGAAGUCUCUUUACCUUCAUUCGUUCAUUCAAUCGUACUUAUCGAUUGCCGAAUGUGUGUGAAAGCACUGUACUAGGUACUUGGGAGUGUACAAUGUAACAAUAAACAGACACGUUCCCUACCCAAAAGGACCUGGAUAGACGAAACUAGCCCAAGGCAAACAGAACAUGAGACAGUCACUUGGGUUGGCUUUGGGUUUUGGGCCCUGGGAUAUGUGUAACCCUGGAGAAAGAAACCAAGUCCAGUUGUAAGCUUUCUCUGUGGGAGAAGCCACGGGGCUCACACUGGUGGUAGAGUAGCCUGGGAGCCGGCAGCAUGCCAUUUGUUUCUGUCACAUGGGGACAGGUACUGCUCUUUUCAUGAUUUGUAAAUGUGGUUUGACCUCACCAUGUGACCAAAAUGCUGGAUAGUUACCUGGGCCUAUUCCAUUAUUCCAUCCCUUGUGGCUGAGUUAUUUUGGGUGGGUGAUGGCAUCACCCAUCCAUCCACCUUAGAAUGGAAGUUCCUUACAACUAGAGUUGUGUAUUUUCUUUGCUCAAUCUCUGUGUUAAUAAAUGUAUUAAUAAAUGCUUA
Long non-coding RNA from Ornithorhynchus anatinus (platypus), 1788 nucleotides. RefSeq lists it as uncharacterized. Lineage: Eukaryota; Metazoa; Chordata; Mammalia; Monotremata; Ornithorhynchidae. The record is from RefSeq and is a predicted model, not a curated record. The transcript has 2 exons.